This 313-nucleotide ribosomal RNA is filed under the name Ixodes ricinus (castor bean tick). RNAcentral's name for it is "partial large subunit ribosomal RNA". Lineage: Eukaryota; Metazoa; Arthropoda; Arachnida; Ixodida; Ixodidae. The record is from RNAcentral.
AAAAGCUUUCUUUAAUUGAAUAAUUGAAUUUAAUUUUUUAGUGCAAAAGCAAAAAUAAAAAUUAGGGACAAGAAGACCCUAUGAAUUUUUUAUUAAAUUUUAUAAAACUUUAUAUAAAAUUUAAUUUAAUUGGGGUGAUGGAAAAAGAAUAAAUAUCUUUUUUUUAAAAAAAAUUGGUUCCGUUUUUAGCGAUUAAAUGAAAAAAAUACUCUAGGGAUAACAGCGUAAUAAUUUUGGAUAGUUCAUAUAGAUAAAAUAGUUUGCGACCUCGAUGUUGGAUUAGGAUUCUUUUUUGGUGAANAAGUUAAAAAAA